Molecule: long non-coding RNA, 907 nt
Filed under: Monodelphis domestica (gray short-tailed opossum)
Lineage: Eukaryota; Metazoa; Chordata; Mammalia; Didelphimorphia; Didelphidae
Description: lncRNA (ENSMODG00000030383.2)
Source: RNAcentral
AGGAUAAGGGAUAGAGAAAAAUGCACAAAUUGUCUUUAAAAGGAAAGAAGGAGAAUUUAGACAAACUCUGGGAGAAGAUUCUGGAAGGAGAGGAGGAUCUUGGGAGUUUACUGGGUUUAAGGGUCUCUCCUCAUCUGGCUUUCCUCUGAGCUGGUAAGGAGAAUCUUUGCUCUGGCAUCCCUUGGGAAAAGACUAAGAUUAGGAAUUCCUGGACUGGAGAACUGCCUUGGAGGAGACCUGCCUUUCUCUGAAGUACAGAGAUCAACCUGUCAGAAACAACUUGGUUAAGAAGCUGAAAUUCAAACUGAAAAUUCGAAGAAAGCUCAAGAAGCCAGAAGGUAAUGCAUUUCAGGGAUGGAAAGAAGCCAGUGAACGUUCACAGAAUCUGGAGGUGAAAUGUCUUUCUUGUUCAAGGGACUUUAGGGAGGUCUGGAUUACAGAGUACAUGGAAGGGCGUGACAUAGGAAGACUGGAGGAGCUAAGUUGCAACGGGAUUGUAAAUCUUUAUAUUGGAUUUUGGAUGUAAUAGCAAGUCAUUGUAAUUUACUGUGUAGGACUGUGGGGAAGGGCAGGGGAUGGAUGACAUGGUCAGAUCUGCACUUUAGGAAGAUUAAUGUGACACUUCUGUAAGGAAUGGACUGGAGAGAAAGCAGAAACUUGAGGCAGGGAGAUAGCAACCUAAUAGGCUAGGCAUGAGGCGAUGAGGGCUGAACCAGAGUGCUAGCACAGUCAAGAGAAUGGAAGAUGAAGUAUAUGCGAUGUCACUAAAGUAGAUUUUUACACUUUUAAUUAAUUUAUUUUUAACAUUCAUUAAAAAAUUUUUGAUAUCCAAAUUCUCUCUCUCCCUGCAGCUCCUCUUCCAUCCAUUGAAAAGGCAAGAAAUAAACCAAUAAUACAUGUGAAGUCA